CAGGACGUCCUCUAAAGCAACUUCCGUGGGUGCCAGGUUAUGGGCUGGGGGCGGUGCUGACCUUGAGAGAGCGGAGGAGGCGCAGGCGCAGCACAGUUUAAACUUGAUUUUGUGAGGGGACGAACAGCGUGACAAUUAAAGAAGAUCUAGGAAUCAAAAGCUUCCUGAGGCCUUCACCAGAAGCAGAUGCUGGUGCCGUGCUUCUACAGCCUGCAGAACUAGCAACUGGGAACCUAAUUCUGACCAACAAGGAGGAAUUGUUUGGCUAAUUGGAAGUGACAGAAACCUUGGGAGAAAGCAACCGCAUACCAAGGAUAAUUAUAAGAAGAAGAGAAGACAUGGAGAAGAGGAGGGAGUAGUUGUGACCGUGGAGGCAGAGAAUGGAGUAAUGUGAUCAUAAAUCAAGGAAUGCUGACAGCCACUAAAGCUGGAGAAGGCCAAGGACAGAUAUUCAAUCCUCCCGUAGAAGUACAGCCCUGCUAAUGCAUUGAUUUUGGACUUCUGGCCUCAGAACUGUAAGAGAAUAAAUUUCUAUUGUUUUAAGCCAUCAGUUUGUGGUAGUUUGUUACAGAAACC
RNAcentral lists this long non-coding RNA (576 nucleotides) under Pan troglodytes (chimpanzee). RNAcentral describes it as "long non-coding RNA NONPTRT014016". The record is from RNAcentral. Lineage: Eukaryota; Metazoa; Chordata; Mammalia; Primates; Hominidae.